CGCCGAAAACGGUUUUCAAAUAUAUUAUAACAUCACUCGUAUCGUGUCGUUCGUUCGUUCAUCGCCGCAUAAACGAGGCGUACUCUUCGAGGAAUUAUUGCGUUUUCAGUCUGACAAGUACCUAUCGCACGUAGAACAACGGCACACUUGUACGGGCGCAAUAACACGGAAAACAAUCGCAGAAAUCAAAAAUCCUGGCAAUUUAAAACACACCUGAAUGCAGUGACUAGCAUGCAGCUGCAAGAAUAUUUAAAAACAAUUCAUCGGGUUCCAGAUUGGCUCUAAAGAUUUUCAAAUACUAAGAUAACGAAUACAAAUACAUAAUAAUAUUAUAAUAAAAUGUUCAUUUUUUCAA
This is a long non-coding RNA of Aphis gossypii (cotton aphid), 355 nucleotides long. RefSeq lists it as uncharacterized. The record is from RefSeq and is a predicted model, not a curated record. NCBI's taxonomy places the organism in Eukaryota, Metazoa, Arthropoda, Insecta, Hemiptera, Aphididae. The transcript has 3 exons.